RNAcentral lists this ribosomal RNA (253 nucleotides) under uncultured bacterium. RNAcentral describes it as "partial 16S ribosomal RNA". It matches the Rfam family "Bacterial small subunit ribosomal RNA", at positions 524 to 776 of the family's 1533-position model. The record is from RNAcentral.
UACGGGGGGAGCAAGCGUUGUUCGGAUUUACUGGGCGUAAAGGGCGCGUAGGCGGUAGCACGAGUCAGUUGUGAAAUCUCCGGGCUUAACUCGGAAAGGUCAACUGAUACUGUGCGACUAGAGUGCAGAAGGGGCAACUGGAAUUCUCGGUGUAGCGGUGAAAUGCGUAGAUAUCUGGAGGAACACCGGUGGCGAAGGCGGCAUCCUGGACCGGUAUUGACGCUGAGGCGCGAAAGCCAGGGGAGCAAACGGG